UAGGGAAUCUUCCGCAAUGGGCGAAAGCCUGACGGAGCAACGCCGCGUGAGUGAUGAAGGUCUUCGGAUCGUAAAACUCUGUUAUUAGGGAAGAACAAAUGUGUAAGUAACUAUGCACGUCUUGACGGUACCUAAUCAGAAAGCCACGGCUAACUACGUGCCAGCAGCCGCGGUAAUACGUAGGUGGCAAGCGUUAUCCGGAAUUAUUGGGCGUAAAGCGCGCGUAGGCGGUUUUUUAAGUCUGAUGUGAAAGCCCACGGCUCAACCGUGGAGGGUCAUUGGAAACUGGAAAACUGGAGUGCAGAAGAGGAAAGUGGAAUGCCAGGUGUAGCGGUGAAAUGCGCAGAGAUAUGGAGGAACACCAGUGGCGAAGGCGACUUUCUGGUCUGUAACUGACGCUGAUGUGCGAAAGCGUGGGGAUCAAACAGG
This 429-nucleotide ribosomal RNA is filed under the name Actinomycetes bacterium. RNAcentral's name for it is "Actinobacteria bacterium partial 16S ribosomal RNA". It matches the Rfam family "Bacterial small subunit ribosomal RNA", at positions 355 to 776 of the family's 1533-position model. Lineage: Bacteria; Bacillati; Actinomycetota; Actinomycetes. The record is from RNAcentral.